UUAAAUUGAAGAGUUUGAUCAUGGCUCAGAUUGAACGCUGGCGGCAGGCCUAACACAUGCAAGUCGAACGGUAACAGGAAGCAGCUUGCUGCUUCGCUGACGAGUGGCGGACGGGUGAGUAAUGUCUGGGAAACUGCCUGAUGGAGGGGGAUAACUACUGGAAACGGUAGCUAAUACCGCAUAAUGUCGCAAGACCAAAGAGGGGGACCUUCGGGCCUCUUGCCAUCGGAUGUGCCCAGAUGGGAUUAGCUUGUUGGUGGGGUAACGGCUCACCAAGGCGACGAUCCCUAGCUGGUCUGAGAGGAUGACCAGCCACACUGGAACUGAGACACGGUCCAGACUCCUACGGGAGGCAGCAGUGGGGAAUAUUGCACAAUGGGCGCAAGCCUGAUGCAGCCAUGCCGCGUGUAUGAAGAAGGCCUUCGGGUUGUAAAGUACUUUCAGCGGGGAGGAAGGGAGUAAAGUUAAUACCUUUGCUCAUUGACGUUAUCCGCAGAAGAAGCACCGGCUAACUCCGUGCCAGCAGCCGCGGUAAUACGGAGGGUGCAAGCGUUAAUCGGAAUUACUGGGCGUAAAGCGCACGCAGGCGGUUUGUUAAGUCAGAUGUGAAAUCCCCGGGCUCAACCUGGGAACUGCAUCUGAUACUGGCAAGCUUGAGUCUCGUAGAGGGGGGUAGAAUUCCAGGUGUAGCGGUGAAAUGCGUAGAGAUCUGGAGGAAUACCGGUGGCGAAGGCGGCCCCCUGGACGAAGACUGACGCUCAGGUGCGAAAGCGUGGGGAGCAAACAGGAUUAGAUACCCUGGUAGUCCACGCCGUAAACGAUGUCGACUUGGAGGUUGUGCCCUUGAGGCGUGGCUUCCGGAGCUAACGCGUUAAGUCGACCGCCUGGGGAGUACGGCCGCAAGGUUAAAACUCAAAUGAAUUGACGGGGGCCCGCACAAGCGGUGGAGCAUGUGGUUUAAUUCGAUGCAACGCGAAGAACCUUACCUGGUCUUGACAUCCACGGAAGUUUUCAGAGAUGAGAAUGUGCCUUCGGGAACCGUGAGACAGGUGCUGCAUGGCUGUCGUCAGCUCGUGUUGUGAAAUGUUGGGUUAAGUCCCGCAACGAGCGCAACCCUUAUCCUUUGUUGCCAGCGGUCCGGCCGGGAACUCAAAGGAGACUGCCAGUGAUAAACUGGAGGAAGGUGGGGAUGACGUCAAGUCAUCAUGGCCCUUACGACCAGGGCUACACACGUGCUACAAUGGCGCAUACAAAGAGAAGCGACCUCGCGAGAGCAAGCGGACCUCAUAAAGUGCGUCGUAGUCCGGAUUGGAGUCUGCAACUCGACUCCAUGAAGUCGGAAUCGCUAGUAAUCGUGGAUCAGAAUGCCACGGUGAAUACGUUCCCGGGCCUUGUACACACCGCCCGUCACACCAUGGGAGUGGGUUGCAAAAGAAGUAGGUAGCUUAACCUUCGGGAGGGCGCUUACCACUUUGUGAUUCAUGACUGGGGUGAAGUCGUAACAAGGUAACCGUAGGGGAACCUGCGGUUGGA
RNAcentral lists this ribosomal RNA (1533 nucleotides) under Shigella boydii. RNAcentral describes it as "bacterial SSU rRNA". It matches the Rfam family "Bacterial small subunit ribosomal RNA". The record is from RNAcentral. Lineage: Bacteria; Pseudomonadati; Pseudomonadota; Gammaproteobacteria; Enterobacterales; Enterobacteriaceae.